UACGUAGGGUGCAAGCGUUGUCCGGAAUUACUGGGCGUAAAGGGCUCGUAGGCGGCCAACUAAGUCGGACGUGAAAUCCCUCGGCUUAACCGGGGAACUGCGUCCGAUACUGGAUGGCUUGAGUUUGGGAGAGGGAUGCGGAAUUCCAGGUGUAGCGGUGAAAUGCGUAGAUAUCUGGAGGAACACCGGUGGCGAAGGCGGCAUCCUGGACCAACACUGACGCUGAUGAGCGAAAGCCAGGGGAGCAAACGGG
RNAcentral lists this ribosomal RNA (253 nucleotides) under uncultured bacterium. RNAcentral's name for it is "partial 16S ribosomal RNA". It matches the Rfam family "Bacterial small subunit ribosomal RNA", at positions 524 to 776 of the family's 1533-position model. The record is from RNAcentral.